Molecule: long non-coding RNA, 1187 nt
Organism: Paramisgurnus dabryanus
Lineage: Eukaryota; Metazoa; Chordata; Actinopteri; Cypriniformes; Cobitidae
Source: RefSeq, a predicted model, not a curated record
GUCAAUGCUGAGAUUUUAAUGCAUCAACAGCCAUUACAUCUGGCUGGAUCAGGAUUGAACAAGAAUCAGACAGCAAGGGUUGUCACAUCAGAAACGUAAUAACACAAACAUAAGAAACUUCACAGGGCUGUGACAGUGACAGUAUUUUACCACCGCGAUGGUAAUGCACCAAUUCACCACUGUGGUGCGGUGGUUAUAGAAUGUGUUUGUGUGAGGGGGGAGGCGGCAAUUUCUUUUUCCGCCGGUGGGUGCUCAUCACAACCUCAAGCUUUACUUCGCAAUGCCAGGUGCUCUAGAGUCUGGAGCGCUCAAAGGCUUUGAAGAGGUGGAAAGUGGCGCAGUCACGUUUUCGUGUGAAUUGUGAAGUUAAAGGCAGAUCACCGUGCAACUUGGUGAAGUCAUGUGUCUUUCCAGAUGGCCAAAUCUGUACCCCUCAAAAAAACUUUAUUAAAUGCCAUGAUAGACAAGAUGAGCCUUAAGAGGAGAUUUGGGAAGAUGCUGUUUCAUAAGUCUUUGCUUUGCCAGAUUAUUUGUGGUUGGGGUGUCUGCCAACAUGAUGCCUUGCUGGUCUGGUUUGAGUUUGAAGUCUCUCACAGACAGUCCAGAAGGUCUGGAGUCCAUCUUAGCUUUCAUUGAUGCUGUCAUCAUUUUUUAAGUGCAUGAGCCAGAAUGGACGGGUGGUGGUGGCCAUAAGAAGACUGUCAACUAAACUAGGGUGACCAUACGUGCCAUUCUUCCCGGACCCGUCCUGUCCAGUCUUUUGGAACUCGUAUUUGUCGACCGCAUACGUCACAGAGGAUUAUUAUUAUUAUUACAGAAAAGCAACCGUUACAUUUUAAGGUAAGAAGAAUGAAACUACGAUUGUAUAUCUUAUGUUUUUAACUGAAUGGCGUAUGCGGUCAACAAAUACGACUUCCGGAAGACGCACCGAAAUCCUGGACGGGAUGCGUCCGGGAAGAAUGGCACGUAUGGUCACCCUAACUAAACCAACAACAAAAUUCAUAUUUGCAGUUAUAAAUAAAAUGACUUUUAAACCUGAUUUUGUUUUCUUAUUUUAUGAUUUCAUUCUAUAUUUGGAAUAUUCCAUUUUUGCACUACUAACUGGAAACUGUUUGAAAGAAUGUGUUUUUAUUAAAAGACAAAUUUCAAAGGUGAAUCAUAUGCCGGCUGGGAUAUCAAAAUAGCAU